Molecule: ribosomal RNA, 251 nt
Filed under: uncultured Gardnerella sp.
Lineage: Bacteria; Bacillati; Actinomycetota; Actinomycetes; Bifidobacteriales; Bifidobacteriaceae
Description: partial 16S ribosomal RNA
Rfam family: Bacterial small subunit ribosomal RNA
Source: RNAcentral
GGGUAGAGUAAUGCGUGACCAACCUGCCCCAUGCUCCAGAAUAGCUCUUGGAAACGGGUGGUAAUGCUGGAUGCUCCAACUUGACGCAUGUCUUGUUGGGAAAGUGUUUAGUGGCAUGGGAUGGGGUCGCGUCCUAUCAGCUUGUAGGCGGGGUAAUGGCCCACCUAGGCUUCGACGGGUAGCCGGCCUGAGAGGGCGGACGGCCACAUUGGGACUGAGAUACGGCCCAGACUCCUACGGGAGGCAGCAGU